UGUCAGAUGACUGUGACCUCCCGACUCUUCCUCUUGAUGCAGUCCAGCGUCACACUCCUGGUUCCACUCCUGCACGCUCCAUCGCUCAGCUGAGGCGAAGCAGGAGAAGUUGAUGCAUCCAACGGUGAUUGAAGUGAUGGACUGGAAAGAUUGAAGGAAAUCUCCCUUCUCUGGUGCCUCAAUGACUCACUGCUGACUCUUGGCAGGGUGUAGGUCCCUGAGAAGCUCCAACAAUUCCUGCUUCUCCAGCUCCACCUCUGCCAACUCCUGUCUCCUUAGGCGCUCUGCUCCAAGAAGCGCACGCAUGUCCGCCAUCACACGGGACAACUGGCCCUGAAUAGCAAAAAUUGGGAGUUGUUAAAACCUUUUCUCAAAUCAAAUUAAAAUGUUGGUUUAUACAUACAGUAUAUAAACCACAUCUCCUUUCACUUCUAGCCUUGUUUUGUAUACUGGAGAACCAGAGUCCUCUACAGCGGACUUUUGAUUUUAGUCUUAUUUUGUCAGAGUUACUUCUGUUUUUAGAGACCUUCUGCAAAACACCUAGUCAAAGGAUCAUCCUAAUGAAAGCACUCUUAAGGCUUUUAGGAAUCUGCUGCAAAAAUGUGAGUCUCUCACACGUUUUAUGGAUUGAACUCGUUGGCCACCAGUUGAAUAGCCAAAGUCAUGAAAAAGAGAGGACCUAAAAUGGAACCUUGAGGACCACCACUAGUAUACCUGAAUAUACUGACUGCAUCUAGAGCAGUGUUUUUCAACCUUUUUUGAGCCAAGGCACAUUUUUUGCAUUGAAAAAAUCCGGAGGCACACCACGUGUCAUGUCUGUGUGAUCAUGUUUUGUUUUAGUUAUGUUCGGUUUUGUUUUUGGACUAUUUGUGCACUCUUGUUUUGUCACCAUGACGACCGAUUAGUUGCACCUGUUUUCACGUUCGGUCUCACACACCUGUUGUCAAUCAUGUCUGUAUUAUUUAAGUCCAUCGUUUUCAGUUAGUCUGCCUGGCGACAUCACACUUUAUGAUCACUCUUCUUCGUGCCAUGUUCACAGUUCCAUGCCAAGUAAGUUUUUGUUUCUUGUUCAUAGUUUUUUGCCUUUGUGCAAGUCUUUUGUUUUCAUUAGCCAAGUUUUGUACCUGCCCUGUGAGCGCUUUUCGUUUGUUCUUUUUUGAUAGUGUUAAAUAAAAUCAUGUACUCACA
Molecule: long non-coding RNA, 1188 nt
Organism: Entelurus aequoreus (snake pipefish)
Lineage: Eukaryota; Metazoa; Chordata; Actinopteri; Syngnathiformes; Syngnathidae
Exons: 2
Source: RefSeq, a predicted model, not a curated record